Molecule: long non-coding RNA, 471 nt
Organism: Gallus gallus (chicken)
Lineage: Eukaryota; Metazoa; Chordata; Aves; Galliformes; Phasianidae
Source: Ensembl
UAAAAAGUAAAGUUAGAAAGGAGGUGACAGCAGCAAUGAGUCCCAUGGAUUGACUGCAGUGUCUGAACCAUCUUGCUUUGAUUUGAUUUGGCCUGGAGCAUCCAACUGGUUUAUUUGAAACCCCCCAGCUGCUGACAGACAGGGAUGGGGAGCAGUUCUUCUCUCAUCUGCAGCUCAUUGUGACUCACGAUUUUACAGACCUCUCCCAUACUUCUUCCUUAUUCCAGUUACUCCUCAUACAGAAGCAGUCUAUUUCUUCAAAUCACCUUUUUCCUUCCUCCUGAACAUAUUCCACAUCCACUGACCACUUGGGACUCGAAAUGCCAGCCACAAACUGGGAGGAAAAAGUGCUGUAAUUCCUCUGCAGUGUUACCCAGAAAGUGAAGCUCCACCCGUGUGAGUCACCAAACCCAAAAGGGCUGAUGUAUUUCCUCAUGCCUAUGUAACGCUGAAUGAUGAAAUAAAAAUGAG